CUCCUAAGGAGAGGUCGCAAGACGUAUCCGAUGGACAACAGGUUUAGAUUCCUGUACCGCAUAUAAACAGAACUGUGGGGACGCAUGUGGAAAGCAUAAGCCGGGAAUGGAAAGACCGGUACAAGCGAGGUAGGUGUGUGACAGGCAAAUCCGUCAUAUAAGCCGAAGACGUGAUGUGGAGCGAAAUUUAGUAGUGAAGUAUGUGAGCCAUGUGCCGAGAAAAGCCGCUAUUGUUUUAUAUGUGCCCGUACCGUAAACCGACACAGGUGGAUGAGGAGAAAAUCCUAAGGCCGACGGAAGAAGCAUUGUUAAGGAAUUCGGCAAAAUGACCCCGUAACUUCGGGAGAAGGGGUGCCCACUGAAUGGUGGGCCGCAGAGAAUAGGCUCAAGCAACUGUUUAGCAAAAACACAGGUCUAUGCGAAACCGAAAGGUGAAGUAUAUGGGCUGACGCCUGCCCGGUGCUGGAAGGUUAAGAGGAGAGGUUAGCGUAAGCGAAGCUUUGAAUUUAAGCCCCAGUAAACGGCGGCCGUAACUAUAACGGUCCUAAGGUAGCGAAAUUCCUUGUCGGGUAAGUUCCGACCCGCACGAAAGGCGUAAUGAUUUGAGCACUGUCUCGACAAUGCAUCCGGUGAAAUUGAAGUACCAGUGAAGAUGCUGGUUACCCGCGCCAGGACGGAAAGACCCCAUGGAGCUUUACUCCAGUUUGAUACUGGGAUUCGGUACUGCACGUACAGGAUAGGUGGGAGACUGAGAACUAUGGACGCCAGUCUGUAGGGAGUCGCUGUUGGGAUACCACCCCUGUAGUACUGGGUUUCUAACCAUCUGCCGUGAUCCGGCAGUGGGACAAUGUCAGGCGGGGAGUUUGACUGGGGCGGUCGCCUCCGAAAGGGUAUCGGAGGCGCUCAAAGGUUCCCUCAGAAUGGUCGGAAACCAUUUGAAGAGUGCAAAGGCAGAAGGGAGCUUGACUGCGACACCGACGGGUGGAGCAGGUACGAAAGUAGGACUUAGUGAUCCGGUGGUAUAAAGUGGGAUUGCCAUCGCUCAACGGAUAAAAGCUACCCUGGGAUAACAGGCUUAUCACUCCCAAGAGUUCACAUCGACGGAGUGGUUUGGCACCUCGAUGUCGGCUCAUCGCAUCCUGGGGCUGUAGCAGGUCCCAAGGGUUGGGCUGUUCGCCCAUUAAAGCGGUACGCGAGCUGGGUUCAGAACGUCGUGAGACAGUUCGGUCCCUAUCCGGCGCGGGCGGAGGAUAUUUGAGAGGAGCUGUCCUUAGUACGAGAGGACCGGGAUGGACGGACCACUGGUGUAUCUGUUGUCGACCAACGGCAUGGCGGAGUAGCCAAGUCCGGAAGGGAUAAACGCUGAAGGCAUCUUAGCGUGAAGCCCCCCUCAAGAUGAGAUAUCCCUCCUUCGGGAGUAAGACCCCUUGAAGACUACAAGGUAGAUAGGGCAGAGGUGGAAGUGUGGCAACACAUGGAGCUGACUGUUACUAAUAGGUCGAGGGCUUGAUC
Molecule: ribosomal RNA, 1512 nt
Filed under: metagenome
Description: bacterial LSU rRNA
Rfam family: Bacterial large subunit ribosomal RNA
Source: RNAcentral